This is a non-coding RNA of Trichobilharzia regenti, 46 nucleotides long. Lineage: Eukaryota; Metazoa; Platyhelminthes; Trematoda; Strigeidida; Schistosomatidae. The record is from Rfam.
GUACUGCUGAGGAGUCCCAAAUUAGAACGAAACAUCCGUCUAGUAC